UACGUAGGGGGCAAGCGUUGUCCGGAAUCAUUGGGCGUAAAGAGCGCGUAGGCGGCCCAGUAGGUCCGCUCUGAAAGUCAGGGGCUCAACCCCUGAAUGCGGGUGGAUACUGCUGGGCUAGAGUCCGGAAGAGGCGAGUGGAAUUCCUGGUGUAGCGGUGAAAUGCGCAGAUAUCAGGAGGAACACCCAUAGCGAAGGCAGCUUGCUGGGACGUUACUGACGCUAAGGCGCGAAAGCGUGGGGAGCGAACAGG
This 253-nucleotide ribosomal RNA is filed under the name uncultured bacterium. RNAcentral describes it as "partial 16S ribosomal RNA". It matches the Rfam family "Bacterial small subunit ribosomal RNA", at positions 524 to 776 of the family's 1533-position model. The record is from RNAcentral.